GAUGAACGCUGGCGGCGUGCCUAAUACAUGCAAGUCGAGCGAACAGACGAGGAGCUUGCUCCUCUGACGUUAGCGGCGGACGGGUGAGUCACACGUGGAUAACCUACCUAUAAGACUGGGAUAACUUCGGGAAACCGGAGCUAAUACCGGAUAAUAUAUUGAACCGCAUGGUUCAAUAGUGAAAGACGGUUUUGCUGUUACUUAUAGAUGGAUCCGCGCCGCAUUAGCUAGUUGGUAAGGUAACGGCUUACCAAGGCGACGAUGCGUAGCCGACCUGAGAGGGUGAUCGGCCACACUGGAACUGAGACACGGUCCAGACUCCUACGGGAGGCAGCAGUAGGGAAUCUUCCGCAAUGGGCGAAAGCCUGACGGAGCAACGCCGCGUGAGUGAUGAAGGUCUUCGGAUCGUAAAACUCUGUUAUUAGGGAAGAACAAAUGUGUAAGUAACUAUGCACGUCUUGACGGUACCUAAUCAGAAAGCCACGGCUAACUACGUG
This 497-nucleotide ribosomal RNA is filed under the name uncultured bacterium. RNAcentral's name for it is "partial 16S ribosomal RNA". It matches the Rfam family "Bacterial small subunit ribosomal RNA", at positions 28 to 507 of the family's 1533-position model. The record is from RNAcentral.